GAACCAGUUUAGUAGCCCUUCUCUGAACUCUCUCUAAUAUUGAUACUUUAGAGAGAGUUCAGAGAAGGGCUACUAAACUGAUUCA
Molecule: non-coding RNA, 85 nt
Organism: Pelobates cultripes (western spadefoot toad)
Lineage: Eukaryota; Metazoa; Chordata; Amphibia; Anura; Pelobatidae
Source: the annotation of a GenBank genome assembly